Molecule: long non-coding RNA, 3317 nt
Organism: Prinia subflava (tawny-flanked prinia)
Lineage: Eukaryota; Metazoa; Chordata; Aves; Passeriformes; Cisticolidae
Exons: 4
Source: RefSeq, a predicted model, not a curated record
GCUAUUUCUGGCACUGGUAGGGGAUCAAAAGUACUUCCAUUUUCAAUGUCCAUCAGCUGAGUGAAGACAGAGCAGGGCUCACCUUGGCAGUUGCUCCAUGUUUCCUGAAAUAACACCUCAUGUGUCCUUGGUGAGCUGCAGCAGAUUCUUUUCCAGAUCUAUUAGAAAAUUAGAGUGAUCAUGAGAUCUUUCUUUCUACUGACAUCAGAUUGAUUGGCCACUGUCUUUGUACAGUCUUCUUCGUUCUCCUCAGUCCAAGGAUGUAUUUCAGAAGGCUCAGGGAGGAAUGGAGACCACAACUUUGCUACUUACAAAACCUGGGCACAAAAGGGAAGGUCUUUGGUCCACAAAAGGGAGCCCCAAGGAUUAGACAGGGAAUAUCUGAUUACUCCAGAGUAGCAAUUUAUGUUUCGGGCAUUAGUAAUUCCAUUUAGCCCUUCUCUAGGUUUGUGGUAUGUUUCUUGUUAUUUUUUCUUUUUUCUCUCUUUUUUUUUUUUUGUCCUUUUAAAUUUUUUUUUCUUUUUUUGGCAGUAGAAAAAGUGAGUAUGCUCAUGCUGUACAGUAAGUGUAGCAAUCUGUCUACAGAAGUUCUGUCCAUGCUGGACUGAGAAAAAGUGAGGUAUGGUGUGCACUUAAUUAAGGUGAAAAUAAGUUAACAGCUUGCUUAGAAUCCCAAGUGCUGAGACUUUUUCAUUUGGAGAACAGAAUACACUGUGCCACUUGUAAAGGCAAGUAAUUUGUGUACUAACUUUGUCCUUAAUAAUUUGUAUGUUCACCAGAGAUUUUAGACACCUUUAAAACAAGUUUUCGUCUGAGUUACUCCUGACUCUAACGCUCACCCAAAUCACCAGUUACAUGCAUAGGACAAUUCAACCACAGGCAGCACUUUCCAGGUGCUCAGCCUUCUUUUUUUUGCUACUCUAUUUCUGGUUGAGAGGAAACAGGGGUUUGAAUGAGAUUGGAUUUCUGCUCUUGCUCUGAAUUAUGUUAGUUAUUUCUCUCAAUGCCCAGCUUUGUUGUGAACAAUUCUGUACUGAAGGCUUUUAAGUCAUAGAUAGAGGUCUGAAUGCAACUGAAAUUCACCAGUGGCUGGGGAACACAAUGCCUUUUCCCACAAACUGACUUGAGCAAUAUUGAUUUAAUUAGAAACAGGUAUAGUGGCAUUUUAGGCAUAGAUUUAGUUGUGCUAUGUAGGUCAACUCUAGCGCUGAGCUGGAAAAUACUGGAUUGCCCCAUGGCAGAAAAAGUUGAUUUCAGACAGAAAUAUUUGAAAUCAUACACCUUAAUAAUCCAUCCAUUUUUGGGACCCCAAUAUAAGAGAGAUCCAAUCUCAAGGGAACUCAACAAGGGACCACUAGGAUUGUUGAGAAUGGGAGCAGUUUUUCUAUGAGGAGAGGAUGAAGGAGCCGGGCUGAUUCCUCCUCAAGAAAAGUGAUUUAGGGGAACUUUGGAGCCCUCCAGUGCUGAGAGGACAAAGCCAGGCACCCUACAGUGGAGCAAGGGAUGACAAGAGGCAGUGGGCACAAGCUCACUGCAUUGAUGUUCAGAAUACACUAAGUUGAACCAAGAAGCUUUUCCUGCCUUAUGGAGGUGGUCAACUAGAGAGAAUGUGCAGUCUCCAGAGAUGCCCAAAACUCAGUUACAAACAGACACUGAACAACUUGGUCUGAUCACAGCUGAAGGUUGUAUUGGAGACCUCCUGAAGUCCAGCCUGAAUUAUUCCAGGAUUCUAUAAUCCUACAGUCAGAUUUGUAUGAUGAAAUCUCUAUUAAAGUAAAAUGGGUGAUUGCCUGAAAAGCACAUAAGAAACAUGACAUUUUGCACCAUGCUAAAAGACUGUUUAGAAGCUGUUUGCUGUCAGAGCUAUACUCCAGUAAGUACCAGGGAGGUCUGUCUUGGUGUGGUAUUAUUGAAUAGUUUUGUUAAUGACUUUGACCUCUCAUUAGGACUGAUUUGUAAAAUUUAUGGAUGGCUUCCUGCCUCACAAAUACUGAACGACACAAUGAAAAUUCAAAAUGUCAGUGCUAAAUUAGACAGAUGGUUUGAUGUCAACAAGAAUAAAGUAGUGCAGGUGAUGGCAAAGUGCUUCAUGUUAAAACAGAGAAAUGGAAGACAUAAAGGCAAAUCUGGGACUCCUUGUCUAGCCAGGAUCACUCCAGUAAAGGGCCUGGGAAUAGUUGCCACAAACUGAGUAAGAGUCAUAAGUAUACAAUGCUACUGAAAAAAAAAGGGGGAAAAAAAUCUAAAAAAAGGAAAAAAAUUAAAGAAAUAAACCCAAAACCCUCCAAAAAAGUUUCAGACCAGCAUAUAUCAACAUAAACUGCAUGAAGGAGUCACUUGCAUUCAUGUGUACCUGGCAGCUGAGAGGCUUUGGGCAGAGUACUGUGUCCACCUCUAGGCACUCUACUUUGCAGACUGUGGGAAAUGGAUUUGUAGAGAAUUCUCAAAGCUUGACAGAAGGCUCACAUAUUAUGCAUCUGUAUCCAAAUUUUGAGAUAAGAAAUGUCUGGCUUAGAAAUGCCAUGGAAUAGGACAGAGAUUGUUGGGAGAGAAAUAGAACUAGAAACAAGUUUCACAGCAUGGCCUUGCAAAUAAGACUAGAUACUUCGCAGAAAUAGAACUAUGAAAGAUGCAUUGUAGUAGGACCACAAGGGGUAAGUUAAGAUGAUUAGCUUUAAGGCACUAGCAGCAUUGUGUGGCAAAAGCUGAUAGGCCAAGAAAGGCUUAUAAUGUAUUGUAAUUAAGAAAUAAUUGGCUUCUGAUUGUGAUGGCAUGAAUUGCAACAUCUGUAUUGUCUCACUCUUCACAUGAGACUAAAAGUGGAAUAAAAGUUUAUAAAACACCUCUCAGUUGCCCCAUCUCAGGGUCAGAAAAGGGCAUAAUCUGGGGCCAGUAGACAGGUUCACAUGUUGGACAAGGGAAACAACCAGAGGGAAAUCAGGUUAGACAGCCAUCCAAAGAACGGAACCUUGGGAGGAAAAAAAAGGCAGUUUAGUUUGGAAAAGCUAAAGCUAAUGGAGGAUAAAAAGGGGAAGGAGUUGUUGCAUUGUUCACAGCAAAUGUGAAACACAAAAUAGUUGUUGUAAUUCACCUCAGUGAAUGUGCAGAUUAGAUAUGAGGAAAAUCUUAUCUGUGAGAUGAGUUAGACAGUACAGCAGGCAAGCAAGAGAUGUAGGAAUGAGGAAUAUUUUUAAAAACAUAGAUUUGUGUUAUAUGAUAUAGGCUCAAGCAAUCCCUUUGGCCUCAAAGUGAUUUCAUGAAGUCAUGUCUGACUGUGCCUUGCCUCUCUGAAGGAAAUUCACUGCUACCAGAGAAAA